This is a long non-coding RNA of Ricinus communis (castor bean), 432 nucleotides long. RefSeq lists it as uncharacterized. The transcript is spliced from 2 exons. Lineage: Eukaryota; Viridiplantae; Streptophyta; Magnoliopsida; Malpighiales; Euphorbiaceae. The record is from RefSeq and is a predicted model, not a curated record.
AAUACCUGUAAUGGAUGUGCAGCAUGCAGCUUUCAGACCCUUGUCAAUGAGUGCAAAGGAGAAUGCUCCAUUGUAGAAAGUUGUCAAAUCUACUGACGUGUAUGGCUAACACACAACAAUUCAUGUUUUUGGAUAAGAAACACAGUUGCUGACUUCAGUUUGGCUCAUCAACAGUUUGCUUAACUGACUCAGGAGUGGCUUCAUUUAUCCCAUAAGGUACCAUAAUGAUUUCAGAAGACUAAUCACCCAAAUCCAAGACUUUCUGAUAAAAAUGAAAAGGCGCAUUGCAUGGUUCCUAAGGAACUGUGCACAUUCUCUACAGCUUCCAUUUCAACCUUCUGGUAGCAACGGUAUUUUAUUCUCUCCUUUUUACGGGAAACUAAAAAGCUAGAUUAAUAUAAUCUACACAGCAAGCUUGUGUUUCCAUUAGAA